GGUUAUUUUGCAGAUUGGAGAAUGGAAUUUGAUAGCAAAUUAAAUAAGGUUUCUAUGAGAAUUAAUUUUUGGUGAAUUAGAUUUGUAAUGACUUUGUAAGAGCUUUACAAAAUCAAGUUUGUUUUUAGAUGACUUGGGUUUUGUGAAAUAAAAUAGGAUUGACAUUUCUAGUGAUUUCAAGAGUUUUGUAACAAAUCUAUAAGUGAAAUUUUUUGGAUUAAUGGUUAUAGUUGUGCUUAAUAUUUUUUAUGAAUCUUAGCUUGAUCAAAUGGUUGAAUUGAGGGUUAUUGAAGUUUAAGUAGGUCAAGAUCUAAGAAAGUAGAA
RNAcentral lists this long non-coding RNA (324 nucleotides) under Physcomitrium patens. RNAcentral describes it as "long non-coding RNA (PPAT_LNC011410)". Lineage: Eukaryota; Viridiplantae; Streptophyta; Bryopsida; Funariales; Funariaceae. The record is from RNAcentral.